AGAAAAAUAAACAUGAAUGCAAUUUGAUCAAUUGAGGUUAAACACAAAAGUGGAUGGAUGAAUGGAGUUGUUGGGGGUUUACAAUUUCAUCUUAUCCUCUCUGUUAUUUACUCCUCUUGAAUUAUUAGCUUGAUUAGUUAAUUGUCAUGCAGCUUUCUUAGUCUACCCUUAACCCGAUCCCUCGGCGAAAAGAGCCUAAUACUAAUUACUGGCUUGCUAUCCCUAGCCUCCCCUAGC
RNAcentral lists this long non-coding RNA (237 nucleotides) under Vigna radiata. Its description in RNAcentral is "long non-coding RNA (VRAD_LNC008024)". The record is from RNAcentral. Lineage: Eukaryota; Viridiplantae; Streptophyta; Magnoliopsida; Fabales; Fabaceae.